UACGUAGGGUGCGAGCGUUAAUCGGAAUUACUGGGCGUAAAGCGCGUGUAGGCGGCUUGGCAAGUCGGUUGUGAAAGCCCACGGCUCAACCGUGGAAGCGCAUCCGAAACUGCUUCGCUCGAGUCUCGGAGAGGAAGGUGGAAUGCUUGGUGUAGAGGUGAAAUUCGUAGAUAUCAAGCAGAACACCUGCGGCGAAGGCGGCCUUCUGGACGAUGACUGACGCUGAGACGCGAAAGCGUGGGGAGCAAACAGG
Molecule: ribosomal RNA, 253 nt
Filed under: uncultured bacterium
Lineage: Bacteria
Description: partial 16S ribosomal RNA
Rfam family: Bacterial small subunit ribosomal RNA
Source: RNAcentral